RNAcentral lists this ribosomal RNA (263 nucleotides) under uncultured bacterium. RNAcentral describes it as "partial 16S ribosomal RNA". It matches the Rfam family "Bacterial small subunit ribosomal RNA", at positions 28 to 290 of the family's 1533-position model. The record is from RNAcentral.
GAUGAACGCUAGCGGCAGGCCUAAUACAUGCAAGUCGAACGAUAGAUAGAAGCUUGCUUUUAUCGAAAGUGGCGCACGGGUGCGUAACGCGUAUGCAACCUACCUUAAUCAGGGGGAUAGCCUCUCGAAAGAGAGAUUAACACCGCAUAAUAUUAUUGAAUGGCAUCAUUUAAUAAUCAAAUAUUUAUAGGAUUAAGAUGGGCAUGCGUGACAUUAGCUAGUUGGUGAGGUAAUGGCUCACCAAGGCCACGAUGUCUAGGGGA